RNAcentral lists this long non-coding RNA (971 nucleotides) under Mustela putorius furo (domestic ferret). Its description in RNAcentral is "lncRNA (ENSMPUG00000025810.1)". Lineage: Eukaryota; Metazoa; Chordata; Mammalia; Carnivora; Mustelidae. The record is from RNAcentral.
CACAAAGGCUAUACAUUUUUAACAUUGCUCCCUGUGAGUAAUUCCAUAACCCUAAGACAAUGGAAAAACUAACCACCCAGUGUAAAUGAUGAACUCCAAGAUAAAGAACAAGCCCCUCUCCAGUUAGCUAAUUUUUAAACAAACUUAUAAAACCCUUCAUUAGAGGCAAAGAGGGAUCAUCUUCCUCAUCUGAGAGGAGAGAUCACUGCUUUGUCUGUGAAGUGGCUCCUUUCUUCUAUAUUUGAUAAAUCUUUGUCUCUUUCUUUAAGCAGCUCACUCUUAAAUUCUUUCUCAAGCAACAGAAACCUAUUGGUGAUGGACCUGAGGGCCCCCCUCUAGGGGUUUUGGCCCCGCCAGCAUCACUUCUGUUAAUAUCACCACUGAACAGCUGCCUUCUUCUUCAAUCAGUCAGCCCCAAAAGCUCUGCUGACACUGCACUUCUUGGCAUAUCGUUGUGUGUGUGUCCUUUCAAGCACAAUUGGAAGCAAGUCAGAGAUGACUGCCUCAAGGAGAAGGAUUUUACACAUGAAGAGUACCAAGGGCAAUCACCAGAAAAAGAACUCUUCCUUUUGGAGGACAGGCAUGUUGAGAACACGGAAGUAAGUCUUAGGGACACCAUCAACCAUGGCAUCGGUUCUGAAGAAAAAUCACUGUAGCUAUGAAUGGAGAAGCAUCCACAUGCUUAGUCAUAUGGAUAAUGAUGCUUUGCAGGAAUUCCCUCUUUAAAAUCACAAAAUAAUAAAAUCACAAAAUUCCUCUAACAUUGUUUAAUGAACACAUAUUCCUUGAAUAUUUUAGACUUUGGAUGAAUUCAUGAGCACGAGAAAUUUUGAAACUGCAGGAGCACUAUACAGAAAGUUGGGGUUGUUUUUUUAAAUUGCUUGAGAUGAAAGAAAGUGAUAGACUUUGAAUAUAAAUCAGAACCUUAUCGAAAAUGGCAAAAUUAAAGCCUCUAUAAAGAACGUGAGAAA